RNAcentral lists this ribosomal RNA (253 nucleotides) under uncultured bacterium. Its description in RNAcentral is "partial 16S ribosomal RNA". It matches the Rfam family "Bacterial small subunit ribosomal RNA", at positions 524 to 776 of the family's 1533-position model. The record is from RNAcentral.
UACGUAGGGGGCAAGCGUUGUCCGGAAUCAUUGGGCGUAAAGAGCGUGUAGGCGGCCCGAUAAGUCCGCUGUGAAAGUCCAGGGCUCAACCCUGGAAUGCCAGUGGAAACUGUCGGGCUAGAGUCCGGAAGAGGCGAGUGGAAUUCCUGGUGUAGCGGUGAAAUGCGCAGAUAUCAGGAGGAACACCAAUGGCGAAGGCAGCUCGCUGGGACGGUACUGACGCUGAGACGCGAAAGCGUGGGGAGCAAACAUG